Molecule: long non-coding RNA, 1276 nt
Filed under: Calidris pugnax (ruff)
Lineage: Eukaryota; Metazoa; Chordata; Aves; Charadriiformes; Scolopacidae
Description: lncRNA (ENSCPUG00000003842.1)
Source: RNAcentral
AUGGGUGCUGAGCCCCACAGCGUCCCCAGGGCCAGGGUGAUGGGCCCCACAGCGUCCAUGGGGCUGAGGUCAGGAGCACCCAUGGGUGCUGGGUGCCAUCCCAGGCCUCAGGUGAGGGUGAUGGGCCCCACAGCAUCCAUGGGGCUGAGGUCAGGAGCACCCAUGGGUGCUGGAUGCUGUGACAGCCCUAAGGCGAGGGUGAUGGGCCCCAUAGCAUCCAUGGGGCUGAGGUCAGGGGCACCCAUGGGUGCUGUCACAGCCCUAAGGCCAGGGUGAUGGACCCCAUAGCAGCCCAGGGGGCACCCAUGGGUGGGUGAUGCCACCCCGUGGCCACCACCAGAGGCACAGAUACCAGUCCAGCAGGUUGGGCGCAGCCCCGAGGCCGCGGCGAUGGGCACAGCAGGGUGCCAGGUGCCACCCCGAGUGUCCCAGGUGUCACCCCGAGGUGGGGGGUGACAAGUCUCUUGGGUUGUCACCCUGAGGAGGAGCAGGGUGAGGGUCCCGGGUGCCCCUCAGCGGGCAGCGCCUCCUGUUGUGUGGUUGUGGGGUUGCAGGGCGGGUGACAGCAGCAGACGGGGGCAGGAGGCACCCAAGGGUGUCCCCACGGGUGUCCCCACCAGCGUCCCGUUGGGUGGCCAGGGUGUCCCACCAGUCCGAAGCAGCGCUCCCUCCCCGGGAGGGGGUGUCACAGUGGGUGUCAGGGGGGGUUGGGGUGUCACGGUGGGUGCCUGGGGUGUCCCCACAGCGGUGGGGGUCACCUCGGGUGUCAGGGGCACCUCGGGUGUCACGUCCCCCGGCGCGCUGUAGAUCUGGGCGCUCACCACGGCCAGGAGCAGCACCAGGAGCCGCUUCGCCGCGCUCGGCUCUUCCGUGGGGGGCGGCCGCCGCACCUGGGGGGGCAAAAAAGUGGGGUGAGAACUCACCUGCCUGGGGCAAAUACCCCCCCCGGGGCAAAUACCCCCCUGGGGCAAAUAACACCCCCCCCGGGGCAACUAUCCCCCUCCCCGGGGGGCAAGUAACUCCCUCUGACCAAUCUUAGGGAACCCAUCCAAGGUCGACCCCCUCCGACCCUGCUUAGCUUCCACGAGGGUAAUUGGGGUAAUUACCCCCCCGGGGCAAAUAACACCCCCCCCACCGGGGGGGCAACUAUCCCCCUCCUCAGGGCAACUAACUCUCCCCGGUCAGGCUUAGGGAACCCAUCCAACGUCAACCCCUCCCGACCCUGCUUAGCUUCAGGAAGGGUACCUGAGGUAAUUACCCCCCCCGGGGCAAAUAC